RNAcentral lists this unclassified non-coding RNA (29 nucleotides) under synthetic construct. RNAcentral's name for it is "RNA (29-MER) from synthetic construct (PDB 8P4F, chain P)". The record is from RNAcentral.
GAUCAAAAAGACAUACAUAAAGACCAGGC